GACGAACGCUGGCGGCGUGCUUAACACAUGCAAGUCGAGCGGUAAGGCUCCUUCGGGAGUACACGAGCGGCGAACGGGUGAGUAACACGUGAGUAAUCUGCCCUUCACUUCGGGAUAACCGCCGGAAACGGUGGCUAAUACCGAAUACGACGCGCUCUCGCAUGAGAUGCGCGUGGAAAGUCUUAUCGGUGAAGGAUGUGCUCGCGGCCUAUCAGCUUGUUGGNGAGGUAC
Molecule: ribosomal RNA, 231 nt
Filed under: uncultured bacterium
Lineage: Bacteria
Description: partial 16S ribosomal RNA
Rfam family: Bacterial small subunit ribosomal RNA
Source: RNAcentral